CUUUUAAUAACCAUGUUUUGGAUAAAUACGCUGUGAUGUAUACAACAAAGUCUACCUUCAUGUGUGUGAUAUCUGCAAAACCAUAUUUGCAUUGAAUGUGCUCUCUUAAGCCCAACAUACAUACAUAUUUUUAUAUACAUGGUUUUAGUCCUCCUUUCCUUAUUUUCAUUAUUCUGUCCUUUGCUGCUUUUUCCUCAGCAGGCAUCCCUGCCUAUCCCGCUGUCCCCUGGAAUGAUUUCUACAUGCAGGGAGCUCCAUUCUCAAAUCAGGUGUGCUCACGAGUGCCAUUUUCUAGCACAGCAGGAGAAAAGUACUUCACUGAGACUUCCUAUGCUCAGGCACCUUGCCUACCCUCCUCCUCCCGUUUUCAAGUGCCCAAUGGAACAACACUGGGAUCCGUGCCACAUGCUGAAAAACAAAAGGGAGGGACACCACCAGACCAGAGUUCCUAUCAGAAUCACCAGCAAGAGCCAGAGAUGACAUCUCUUCCUGAAAGAGAGGAAGUAGAGAGUAGCAGCAAGAAAGAAGAGACUAUUGUUGAAAUUAAGAAGAAGCUAAUGACUGAUGCUCCACUCUGAGGGGGGGGAAAAAGCAAAGGAAGAGGAAACGUUGCCAUUUUUUAAACUCUGCAAAAUAAGAGACCGAAAACAAGAGACAAGAAUAAUAUUUGCAACAGAAGCAAUAUUUUGUUUCUUUUUUGGGGUUGUAUUUGAUUUUUUUUCUUGUUGCCAUGAUUAUUUUCUUGCUGAGGAAAGAAGCAGGGAAAUUUCAGCCAAUAAAGGCUUCUGGCCUGUG
Neopsephotus bourkii (Bourke's parrot) is the source of this 795-nucleotide long non-coding RNA. RefSeq lists it as uncharacterized. The transcript is spliced from 2 exons. Lineage: Eukaryota; Metazoa; Chordata; Aves; Psittaciformes; Psittacidae. The record is from RefSeq and is a predicted model, not a curated record.